UUGAUCCUGCCGGACCCGACUGCUAUCAGAGUGGGACUAAGCCAUGCGAGUCAACGCAGCAAUGCGUGGCAUACGGCUCAGUAACACGUAGUCAACAUGCCCAGGGGACGUGGAUAACCUCGGGAAACUGAGGAUAAACCGCGAUAGGCCAAGGUUUCUGGAAUGGACACUGGCUGAAACCUACAUGGCCCCUGGAUUGGACUGCGGCCGAUCAGGCUGUUGGUGAGGUAAUGGCCCACCAAACCUGUAACCGGUACGGGCUUUGAGAGAAGGAGCCCGGAGAUGGGCACUGAGACAAGGGCCCAGGCCCUAUGGGGCGCAGCAGGCGCGAAAAUUCUGCAAUAGGCGAAAGCUUGACAGAGUUACUCUGAGUGAUGCCCGCUAAGGGCAUCUUUUGGCACCUCUAAAAAUGGUGCAGAAUAAGGGGUGGGCAAGUCUGGUGUCAGCCGCCGCGGUAAUACCAGCACCCCGAGUGGUCGGGACGAUUAUUGGGCCUAAAGCAUCCGUAGCUUGUUCUGCAAGUCUUCCGUUAAAUCCACCUGCUCAACAGAUGGGCUGCGGGAGAUACUACAGGGCUAGGAGGCGGGAGAGGCAAGCGGUACUCAGUGGGUAGGGGUAAAAUCCUCUGAUCCACUGAAGACCACCAGUGGCGAAGGCGGCUUGCCAGAACGCGCUCGACGGUGAGGGAUGAAGCUGGGGGAGCAAACCGGAUUAGAUACC
RNAcentral lists this ribosomal RNA (720 nucleotides) under uncultured Nitrososphaerota archaeon. Its description in RNAcentral is "bacterial SSU rRNA". It matches the Rfam family "Archaeal small subunit ribosomal RNA", at positions 8 to 737 of the family's 1478-position model. The record is from RNAcentral. Lineage: Archaea; Thermoproteati; Nitrososphaerota.